This is a long non-coding RNA of Caretta caretta (loggerhead turtle), 1453 nucleotides long. RefSeq lists it as uncharacterized. NCBI's taxonomy places the organism in Eukaryota, Metazoa, Chordata, Testudines, Cheloniidae. The record is from RefSeq and is a predicted model, not a curated record.
AGGCUCGAGCAAGUAGCAAAGGGAGGAGUGGGAUUUGAUUACUGGAGUGGCCUAGUUUUCAGGCAGUUUUUGCUUCUCUAGAGGGAGACUGGCUGGAGCAAGCCAUCCUCUUUUUAUUCCUUUGUUUUGUCUGGAUUGGGGUGCAGAAACUUCUCAUUUGUGGAACUCUUUUGAAGCCGAGAAGGGGAGGACGUUUUCUGCUUUGACUUGAGGGACAAGCUACCCUACCUGCUGGAGAGACACUGAGGCAGCAACUUCACCAUUCAGAAAGAGGAAGAAGACAAGAUGGCCAUCUCUGGAUCCAUGGUCAUCGGAAGGAGAAAAAUAUUCUUGCUGGGACCAAAACUGCUGAUUACUCUUGAGCUGUUGUGUCAUCUUCCUUAGGACUGAAAGGGACCCCCAGGUCAUCGAGUCACUCUUCUCCUGCUAUCACGUGCAACUCCAUCAUGUAGUUAAGGCAUCCCAUAAAGAUCAUCUUUGGUAUGUACUUGGAGAGCAGGCAGAAACAUGGAUGCAACAGAAUACAAGGCAUGAGUCUCUUUGCUGGCCAGAUUGGGACUGAAGCUUUUGAUGCGCUCUGAAGCCAGAGGGUAACAACACCUGUCUGAGACAUAGCUGACCUAAGAUUCACUGAGUAUGAACAUUUCACAACGUUUUCUUUUGACAACGUUGUUACCAGGCAGCAAUUGCAUGCCACAGCUCUCCCCUCUGCAGCAGCGUUUCUAUAACAGGACUUUUCUUGUUCUCUAAAUAUCUUACAGAGCGAACCAGGAGCUGCAAACCCUUACUCCUAUUAAUUGUUAUCAUUUGUAUUACCAUACACGUAUGAUCGUCACAGUCAUGGAUCAAAACCCCACUGUGCUAGGCACUACGUUUAAUACUAUGGUUUGCAGGAGGUCAGACAAGAUGAUAUGGUGAUACCUUCAGAUGGGAGUAAAGUUAAUAUUUGGGAGUCUGAAUUUGCAGGAUCGGGCUUAAAGUAUAAUUUGAACGUAUUCUGGAAUAUUCUAUAUUCACUGACUUUCAUCCAGGAUCUCCGAGUUCUUUUGCCUGGGCUGUUCACUUGUGAAAACAUCCAAGAAACUUGAAUUUGAUAUAAAGCUUUUGCUAUAAAAGGCAGACCUGAAUUCGAUAUAAAGAUUUUGCUGAUAUACUGCCUGUGAGGCAGUCAUUUAUUAUAUAAGCACUGGAAAGGGUGUUUUGGUUUUAGCUUUUUUCUUCUUUUCUGAAUGGACUGCCAGAGGAUUUUUCCGAUGGCAAUUGCUGUGAAUUAGUUUGCAAUUCUGUGUCUGUGAAUGCUUGAAAAACAAAUUAAUCCACGGGAUUUCAUUCAUAAAAUGUUAUUCACUUCAUGCAUUCAUUUUUUCAUUUGAGAUUUCCUCAGCACAGCACUUCAGAGGAUGCACAACUCUGUAGGACAGUAGCACACUGUAGAUGAUUAUUAAUGAUUAAA